CAGAGCUAACGCUGGUGGCGUGUCUUAGCCAUGCAAGUCGUGCGGACUAAGGGGAAACCCUUAGUCAGCGGCGGACGGCGGAGUAACACGUGACUAACCUGCCUUCGGGAUAGGGACAACCAUCCGAAAGGAUGGCUAAUCCCUAAUAUGUCCUUAUGGGGCAUCCCAUAAGGAUGAAAGGGGGCCUCUGGUUUUCAUGCUCCCGCCCGAAGAAGGGGUCGCGGCCCAUCAGGUAGUUGGUAGGGUAAUGGCCUACCAAGCCUAUGACGGGUAGCCGGCGUGAGAGCGUGGCCGGCCCGAGGGGCACUGAGACACGGGCCCCACUCCUAUGGGAGGCAGCAGGCUAGAAAUUUGGGCAAUGGGGGAAACCCUGACCCAGCGACGCCAUGUGGGGGAUGAAGCCCUUCGGGGUGUAAACCCCUGUCAGGGAGGAAGAAGGGAUAAUAGGUGAAUAACCUAUUAUCUUGACGGUACUCCCAGAGGAAGCCCUGGCUAACCUCGUGCCAGCAGCCGCGGUAAUACGGGGAGGGCGAGUGUUGCUCGGAUUUACUGAGCUUAAAGGGGAUGUAGGCGGUUUGGUGUGUCAGGCGUGAAAUCCACCGGCUUAACCGGUGGGCUGCGUCUGAUACUACCAAACUAGAGGGCGCCAGAGGAGAGUGGAACUCCCGGUGUAGCGGUAAAAUGCGUGGAUAUCGGGGGGAACACCAGUGGGGAAGCCGGCUCUCUGGGGCGUCCCUGACGCUGAGGUCCGAAAGCGUGGGGAGCAAAAGGGAUUAGAUACCCCUGUAGUCCACGCUGUAAACGAUGCGGACUUGGCAUUCUCUUCGUAAGAAGGGGGUGCCGGAGGGAAACCGUUAAGUCCGCCGCCUGGGGACUACGCUCGCAAGGGUGAAACUCAAAGGAAUUGACGGAGGGGCGCACAAGCGGUGGAGCGCGUGGUUCAAUUCGAUGCUGACCGAAGAAUCUUACCUGGGCUUGACAUGCAGGUGGUACCCCGAUGGAAACAUUGGGGGAACCCUCUGGGUAGCCUGCACAGGUGCUGCACGGCUGUCGUCAGCUCGUGCCGUGAGGUGUUGGGUUAAGUCCCGCAACGAGCGCAACCCCUGCCCUUAGUUGCUACCAGAUCCCUUUUUGGGGAUGCUGGGCACUCUAAGGGGACUGCCGCCGAUGAGGCGGAGGAAGGUGGGGAUGACGUCGAGUCCGUGUGGCCUUUAUGCCCAGGGCUACACACGCGCUACAAUGGGCAGUACAGAGGGAUGCAAACCCGCAAGGGGGAGCAAAUCCCUAAAACUGCCCUCAGUUCGGAUCGGGGUCUGUAACUCGACCCCGUGAAGCCGGAAUCGCUAGUAAUCGCCAGUCAGCAAUAUGGCGGUGAAUACGUUCCCGCCCCUUGUACACACCGCCCGUCACGCCAUGG
RNAcentral lists this ribosomal RNA (1417 nucleotides) under uncultured bacterium. Its description in RNAcentral is "bacterial SSU rRNA". It matches the Rfam family "Bacterial small subunit ribosomal RNA". The record is from RNAcentral.